CAUAGGGUAGUUCACCAUUCUCAUCACAUUCUGCACAAGCCGGGCACAAGAUGGAGGAGUGUCCGAGCAAACCGCACGAGAAGUGGAAGAGAGGGAGGCGUUCAUACAUCACUGCAUAAGUGUAGGUGGUCUUCAGUUUGGCAGAGGAUACCGUCACAUAACACACCAAGGGCUCUUUGACGAUAAUUUCUGUUGGAAAUAUGUCCUAUAG
RNAcentral lists this long non-coding RNA (211 nucleotides) under Hordeum vulgare. Its description in RNAcentral is "long non-coding RNA (HVUL_LNC011773)". Lineage: Eukaryota; Viridiplantae; Streptophyta; Magnoliopsida; Poales; Poaceae. The record is from RNAcentral.